This is a long non-coding RNA of Oncorhynchus tshawytscha (Chinook salmon), 645 nucleotides long. RefSeq lists it as uncharacterized. The transcript has 3 exons. Lineage: Eukaryota; Metazoa; Chordata; Actinopteri; Salmoniformes; Salmonidae. The record is from RefSeq and is a predicted model, not a curated record.
GUAUGAGGACCAUAGUAAUGUAUAAAGGUGAGUUAGAGAGUAGGUAUGAGGACCAUAGUAAUGUAUAAAGGUGAGUUAGAGAGUAGGUAUGAGGACCAUAGUAAUGUAUAAAGAUGAGUUAGAGAGUAGGUAUGAGAACCAUAGUAAUGUAUAAAGGUGAGUUAGAGAGUAGGUAUGAGGACCAUAGUAACGUAUAAAGGUGAGUUAGAGAGUAGGUAUGAGGACCAUAGUAACGUAUAAAGGUGAGUUAGAGAGUAGGUAUGAGGACCAUAGUAAUGUAUAAAGGUGAGUUAGAGAGUAGGUAUGAGGACCAUAGUAAUGUAUAAAGGUGAGUUAGAGAGUAGGUACGAGGACCAUAGUAAUGUAUAAAGGUGAGUUGGAGAGUAGGUAUGAGUAGGUAUGAGGACCACAGUAAUGUAUAAAGGUGAGUUAGAGAGUAGGUAUGAGGACCAUAGUAAUGUAUAAAGGUGAGUUAGAGAGUAGGUAUGAGGACCAUAGUAAUGUAUAAAGGUGAGUUAGAGAGUAGGUAUGAGGACCAUAGUAAUGUAUAAAGGUGAGUUAGAGAGUAGGUAUGAGGACCACAGUAAUGUAUAAAGGUGAGUUAGAGAGUAGGUAUGAGGACCAUAGUAAUGUAUAAAGGUGAGU